GACGGAAAGACCCCGUGAACCUUUACUAUAGCUUGACACUGAACAUUGAGCCUUGAUGUGUAGGAUAGGUGGGAGGCUUUGAAGUGUGGACGCCAGUCUGCAUGGAGCCGACCUUGAAAUACCACCCUUUAAUGUUUGAUGUUCUAACGUUGACCCGUGAUCCGGGUUGCGGACAGUGUCUGGUGGGUAGUUUGACUGGGGCGGUCUCCUCCUAAAGAGUAACGGAGGAGCACGAAGG
RNAcentral lists this ribosomal RNA (238 nucleotides) under Escherichia coli. Its description in RNAcentral is "partial 23S ribosomal RNA". It matches the Rfam family "Bacterial large subunit ribosomal RNA", at positions 2079 to 2316 of the family's 2925-position model. The record is from RNAcentral. Lineage: Bacteria; Pseudomonadati; Pseudomonadota; Gammaproteobacteria; Enterobacterales; Enterobacteriaceae.